UGGGGAAUAUUGCACAAUGGGCGAAAGCCUGAUGCAGCAACGCCGCGUGAGGGACGACGGCCUUCGGGUUGUAAACCUCUUUUAGUAGGGAAGAAGCGAAAGUGACGGUACCUGCAGAAAAAGCACCGGCUAACUACGUGCCAGCAGCCGCGGUAAUACGUAGGGUGCAAGCGUUGUCCGGAAUUAUUGGGCGUAAAGAGCUCGUAGGCGGUUUGUCGCGUCUGCUGUGAAAACCCGAGGCUCAACCUCGGGCCUGCAGUGGGUACGGGCAGACUAGAGUGCGGUAGGGGAGAUUGGAAUUCCUGGUGUAGCGGUGGAAUGCGCAGAUAUCAGGAGGAACACCGAUGGCGAAGGCAGAUCUCUGGGCCGUAACUGACGCUGAGGAGCGAAAGCAUGGGGAGCGAACA
Molecule: ribosomal RNA, 407 nt
Filed under: uncultured bacterium
Lineage: Bacteria
Description: bacterial SSU rRNA
Rfam family: Bacterial small subunit ribosomal RNA
Source: RNAcentral